ACGCUCGACACCUACGGGAGCAGCAGUGGGGAAUAUUGCACAAUGGGGGAAACCCUGAUGCAGCGACGCCGCGUGAGUGAAGAAGUAUUUCGGUAUGUAAAGCUCUAUCAGCAGGGAAGAAAAUGACGGUACCUGAGUAAGAAGCCCCGGCUAACUACGUGGCAGCAGCCGCGGUAAUCUGAGCGGGCUGGCAAGGC
This 197-nucleotide ribosomal RNA is filed under the name uncultured bacterium. RNAcentral's name for it is "partial 16S ribosomal RNA". It matches the Rfam family "Bacterial small subunit ribosomal RNA", at positions 328 to 539 of the family's 1533-position model. The record is from RNAcentral.